AUUGAACGCUGGCGGCAGGCCUAACACAUGCAAGUCGAACGGUAACAGGAAGCAGCUUGCUGCUUUGCUGACGAGUGGCGGACGGGUGAGUAAUGUCUGGGAAACUGCCCGAUGGAGGGGGAUAACUACUGGAAACGGUAGCUAAUACCGCAUAACGUCGCAAGACCAAAGAGGGGGACCUUAGGGCCUCUUGCCAUCGGAUGUGCCCAGAUGGGAUUAGCUAGUAGGUGGGGUAACGGCUCACCUAGGCGACGAUCCCUAGCUGGUCUGAGAGGAUGACCAGCCACACUGGAUCUGAGACACGGUCCAGACUCCUACGGGAGGCAGCAGUGGGGAAUAUUGCACAAUGGGCGCAAGCCUGAUGCAGCCAUGCCGCGUGUAUGAAGAAGGCCUUCGGGUUGUAAAGUACUUUCAGCGGGGAGGAAGGGAGUAAAGUUAAUACCUUUGCUCAUUGACGUUACCCGCAGAAGAAGCACCGGCUAACUCCGUG
RNAcentral lists this ribosomal RNA (490 nucleotides) under uncultured bacterium. RNAcentral describes it as "partial 16S ribosomal RNA". It matches the Rfam family "Bacterial small subunit ribosomal RNA", at positions 30 to 507 of the family's 1533-position model. The record is from RNAcentral.